Solea solea (common sole) is the source of this 1359-nucleotide long non-coding RNA. RefSeq lists it as uncharacterized. The transcript is spliced from 2 exons. The record is from RefSeq and is a predicted model, not a curated record. Lineage: Eukaryota; Metazoa; Chordata; Actinopteri; Pleuronectiformes; Soleidae.
GGGUAUUCCAGAAAGCAGGUUCAACACACUCUGAGUCUAUCCCUGAACUCUGAGUUGACUUACUCUGAGUCGGGAAACUCUGAGUAUCCGGUUCCAGAACAGCUGAUCUGAGUUAGUUCAAUCAACUCUGAGUAUGUUAACCUCGAGGUACGCGCGUGCACAACCACUGAAAAAAGCCAUCAUCAAUGGAGCCCCGAUACCACGAGUCACCAUGACAACCGAGAAAAAAAAAGAUCAACACAUUUCAGUGCGAAGGAGUUGGAGAUCCUUAUGCUGGGCUACGGAGAAUAUGAGCACAUAUUUCGCCGCGAAUGCAACACAGCUGCAGCAGCGAAGGAGAGAGAGACCGCAUGGGAGAGAAUUGCUGCCCGAGUCAACGCGUAAGUUUGAACGUACUAUUCCAUUGACGUAACAUUUAACCGUAAGAUCAUAACAUAGUCUAUAGUUAUGAAUAUAAGUAGGAAUGAAAUCUGAGUUUUUCAUUUAGGUGCAAUCCAACAGGAGAAAGGAGGACUUAGAAGCAGCUCAAAAUGAAACAUAAAAACAUCAUUCAAAAAGCCAACAGAAAGAAGGCAGAGGCCCGAAAAACGGGUGGAGGGCCACCUCCACCACCUCUGACAGAGGCUGAGGAGCUGGCUCUCAGCCAAUACAGGGGUCGCCCUGUGGCUGAAGGCAUCCCCGGGGGAAGCUCAUCUGAGCCUGUCACCCCCCAGGACACAAGCGCCUACAUCAGAUGCAAGUAUACACUUAUGUCUUUUUUUUAAAUAAAACUUUUAGACGCUGUCUGCUGCCACAGGGAGAGAUCCGGGGGGGCCUACUGAAGUGUGUCUUAAUAUUAUGUAUAGCUACUGGCACUGCUCUACCCAUUCAUAUUCAUUUACAUUCUUGAGUGGAAUUUGGAGUUUGACAUGUACACUGAAGUGAUGAGCAUAGAUAAUGGACAAACUAGCACAUUCUUGUCCUUCAACAGAACAUGGCUGGGCAUCACCAAGAGGAGGGUCCAUCAACUUCUAGAGCACAGCUUGACACAGUGAGAUUUUCGGUCAAUACCAUGUUAAAUCUGUAUGUAGAACUGCAGGAAUUAAAUGUCGUCCAUAUGUUUCCGAGUUGCCGGUAAAAGAGUUGUACAGGGUGCACCUAAUGAAAACCAUUCAAAAAACCAAGAAAGAAAUGGUGUACCUGGACCGGCAAAUCAGAAAAACAGACUUGGAAAUUCUAUUACUUGAACGCCAGUUGAGGUGGGGGCAUUGUCAUGGUGAAACAGGUGAAUAUGUAAAAUAUGUUAAUAGUUGGAACUAUAUUACAAAUCCUGACUGUUGGCUUUUGUACUUUUAGAGAAUAAAGAAGAACCAAAACACA